Peromyscus eremicus (cactus mouse) is the source of this 1002-nucleotide long non-coding RNA. RefSeq lists it as uncharacterized. The record is from RefSeq and is a predicted model, not a curated record. Lineage: Eukaryota; Metazoa; Chordata; Mammalia; Rodentia; Cricetidae. The transcript has 4 exons.
CCAGCAAGUCAUUUCCCCAUACAAUAGAAACAUAAACUGCUAAACAGCUCCCACUUUAGUUAUUACCACAGUUGGGGCAUGAUCUCAGCUAGAGUGUGAGGAGUGGCUAAUGGACAGAACCCGGCAUUUGACUCAGUACUCUAGGAUAACUACCUAGGUGAGUCCUUCGCAGAAGAAAAUGCAGAAUUUGGACCCAUUUGCUAUGUGAUUAAGAACUCUGAUGGGAAGGAAGGAAAGGGAACCCUACGCCAUGACCCCAGACACCCUGGCCGAGUGUAUUCAAGGAAGGAGACAUUUCUCAGCAACCCAGAGUCUCUCACCAACCCUUGAAGAUCAAGAACACAUCAAGAGAUCAGUGCUGGCUACACUCCUCAGAGUGCAAACCCCAACUCCAGCCUAAGUCCACCCAAGUGGCAACACACUUGUGGAGGUCAGAAGACAACCUGUAAAGUGAUUUCUCUACUUCUAUCAUGUGGGACCUGAGGACAAAACUCAGAUCAUCCGACUUGGCACCAAGUACCUUUGUUCGCUUAGCCAUUUCACCAGCCCAAGACUUUCAACCUUCAGUCCUGUAUUGUGAGGGUAAAAUUAUGGUUUAAGUUUAAAUUACUGUGCUUAAGAGAUCUAUAAAACAAAAAUGCCUCUAACCUGUAAGCCCCACUUGCCCAGGGACAGAUAACUUCCUGGAUGUUGGGGGCUGCUGUUCAUGUAAGAUAACAAGCCACUUGUUCUCACUUCUACUAACAAGGAUGGUUGCCCCAACUGUACAGGAUUUGCUUGAUCACUCAUAGGCAGGAAGUACGUAGGCAGGAAGCAUGUCAGGGUAUAUGCUUGCCCCUGAUUGGAUGAAGGCAGGAAGUAUGUAGUCUUGUGAGUUUUGCCUUUAUAAGAACCUGACUAACAAAAUUCACAGCCAUUUUCUGGGAAUCUCUGGUCUGAACCUGGCCAGUGUCCAUCUUCCUGGCUGGUGUUUAAUAAAGCUUGCUUCAAAUUUGGCUCAAA